This 481-nucleotide ribosomal RNA is filed under the name uncultured bacterium. RNAcentral describes it as "partial 16S ribosomal RNA". It matches the Rfam family "Bacterial small subunit ribosomal RNA", at positions 28 to 507 of the family's 1533-position model. The record is from RNAcentral.
GACGAACGUUGGCGGCGUGCUUAAUACAUGCAAGUCAACUGAAGCAGUGGUAGCAAUAUCGCUGUGGAGGUGGCGCACGGGUGAGUAACACGUAGGUAAUCUGCCUUCAGGUCUGGCAUAACUCCGGGAAACCGGGGCUAAUAGCAGAUGAUGCAGCGGCUCGACAUCGAGACAGUUGUUAAAGCUAUGGCGCCUGAAGAUGAGCCUGCGUCUGAUUAGCUAGUUGGCGGGGUAACGGCCCACCAAGGCAACGAUCAGUAGCUGGUCUGAGAGGAUGAUCAGCCACACUAGAACUGAGACACGGUCCAGACUCCUACGGGAGGCAGCAGUAAGGAAUAUUGCGCAAUGGGAGAAAUCCUGAAGCAGCAACGCCGCGUGAGGGACGAAGGGCUUUUGCUUGUAAACCUCUGUAGUGAGAGAAAAAAAUCCCAAUCUUUGGGACAUGAUGGUAUCUCAAAAGUAAGCCCCGGCUAACUACGUG